Molecule: long non-coding RNA, 502 nt
Organism: Pygocentrus nattereri (red-bellied piranha)
Lineage: Eukaryota; Metazoa; Chordata; Actinopteri; Characiformes; Serrasalmidae
Exons: 3
Source: RefSeq, a predicted model, not a curated record
CUCAUGCUAAGACAAUAGUGGGACGCGCAGGUGAGGAUAAUCCUCACUAAUUGCUUAUCGGCGACAUCAAGCCCUGACGGAGCCUGAAACCCCAACUCCCACACCUACUUGUCAAAAACUAAAGGCCUGUUAAACCGCCUUCUUUGAUGCCCUCGCGCGUAGCCUAAAGCACGCCAAGGGUAGGAGACCUGCAGCAGCAGAGUUGAACCAAGCUGAGUGACCUUCAAACAUGGAGACUGUGAAGCCAUCUAGUGGCAUAUGCAGCCCAUUGUCAUGGAUGGGAGCAAUUUCCUGAAAUUUCUCCCUCAUCAGUGGGUCCCUAUCAUGGCGUCAAAAACACUCAGCUCAUGACCAUCUUCAGACUGCUCCCUGGAGUCAACAGCCGCUGGAGGUAAAGACCUCAAUCAAAAUGAGUGGCACAUCUGAAAGUAGAAGAGAACGGCAGAUUUGCAGGAGCUUCAUUUAAUAAAGAAGCAAGGAAAGGUGUUUUAUUAAACAAUAA